Molecule: long non-coding RNA, 4912 nt
Organism: Gallus gallus (chicken)
Lineage: Eukaryota; Metazoa; Chordata; Aves; Galliformes; Phasianidae
Exons: 3
Source: RefSeq, a predicted model, not a curated record
GAGCGGGACAAGCCGCGGCGUGAGGGGCGGGGGAAAAAGGCGGGAAGGCGUCGGGUGAGGCAGCGCGUGGCGCCCUCACAGCGCUCUGAGGUAAUAACCGCCAUGGCGGUGCGUUGGUGUCAGCGGCCUCCCGUGGUGCUGUGUUGGGGUUUGUUCUCCCUCGUGCCCUGCAGGCCUCUUCUGGUGGUGUGUUCGGUUUUAAAGGCUUUGCUUAGAGCUGGAAGUGGAAAAUUAUAUUGGAUAUCUGUGAAAAUGAAGAUAUAAUCUUACCACUCCUUCAUAUAAACAGGAGUCCAAGCUUUGGCACUAGCAGAACACACUAGAGAACAGUAAGUGCUGCUAUGGUUGGUGAUGAAAGGAAAAGCUUCUGAGAUCCAGGCUUCUUUGAACCAAGCAAGUCUGAGGAUUCACCAGGGAGAGGAAACUGGGGGUUUUUCUUCUGCAUCACUUUUCCUCAAAAAUUAAUUUGCAACAGAAUAGCAAAUACUGAGCUAGACAGGGUCCAGUACUCCAACUUUUCCUUAACUGUGAAUCAAAUAAUUAAAGACAUUUUUCAAGCUCUUGUACCAAUUAACUAAUCCUCAGUGUUGCACCGAGGAGGAAGGUGAGUUGAAUAUAACUUGUCUUUAAAAUUUUUUUUUUGAAGUGUAGAGAAGUUGAGCAGCUUAUUUAUAUUAAAAUAAUAAUAAUUAAAAAUACAGAAUUGGGAACAGGAACUCCUUUAGACAGUGGCUGUUUCUAGUUCCAAACAGAGAUGCAGAAGAAUAUAGGUAGGUUCCAGGCAUACAUAUUCAAAGCCAUGACUGAAAAAACUGCAGCUACCAGCACUCCUCAGGCACUGUGCUUUCUCACCUGAAGGUUCACCAGUGCAGUUAUGCGUGUGCUCACAACUGUCACUUCCUGAGUGCUUCAACACUUAGCUCCGACCCUCCCUGUGCUUGGCUCCAGCAGCACCUACGUCUCUUGGAACAGGAAAGGAUACAUUUGCUCUAGCAGAGCUACCACGUGCAAGCAGCACUACAAUCAGUACAAAACACAACCACAAUCAGCACCUCUAUGAGAAGAGGCUGCCAGCAGUUGGUGGGACAGCUGCCUUCCACACACAGCCCCAUGGGGGCUGAGCUUACUGCUUUGCAUAUUGCCUGUUUGCUUUCCUGACUUCAAAACACUCUGAGACGGUUUGACUUUGGCACUGUUGCUGUGAUUCGAAACUAGUUUUAAUUGUGAGAAAACAAACACUGUGUAAAGAAUCUUGACCUCCUUUGGAAAAAUUCUGGCUAGGAAGCUUUAAUUGCAGGGAAUCUGUUGGUAGCACUAUUUUUACAUGUAUUGGAAACGUAUCAAAGCUAAUUUUUGAGAAGAGUAAAUUAUACUUUAGGAUGCACAAUUGUGAGAAAGUGACUCCCAAACGUCUUUGAGUUGGUCCUUUGUUUCUCGUUAGAAGCAUCUCCUGUCUUCCCUGAUGAGUCUGCUCCUGUUUUCAGGGCUGUUUUGCUUUAAGAUGCUUUUGAUCCUGUAUUCAUUAAAACCUGAUCCUGCUGCUUCCCACCAGCCCUAAUGGUCUGUGAAAUUAUUUUCCUUUCUCUAAGAUGCUGUUAACUCUGCUAGCACCUGCAGAGUAGAGGAGCUCAGAACACUGUCGAAACUCUUCAAAUUCAUCCAAACCACCUUUUCUCCAUAAACAAUCUUCAAUGUUAUCACAGCAAUCUUCUGUAGUGGAGAAGCGGGAGUGGACUGAACAGAGUUUAAAGUUUUUAUCACUGCUGUUUUCCACUUCUGCAGGUACAGAGAGGUAAUUGUACAAAAGACUUGGGAAUCCAGGAUAAGAUUCACUCUGUGGAGCACGGACAGAAAGUAUGAAUGAGCUUAAAGGGCUCAAAUAGCUGGGGAAGAAAAGAAAAAAGGUGAAUCAACUAAGAAGGCAGAGGACAAUGAAAAGUGAUGUAAAAGGGAAAAUGUAAAUGUGCCUUUACAGUCAGGACCUUGCAGGGAAUAGCAGCUAUGGAUUCUUGAAGUAUCCACAAACUAGGAGUUGUUCAGUGUUUAAUUGCUGAGCUGUCAUCCUGUCCUGAAUCCUGAUGCGAAGUCUGGUUUCAUUUUUAUGCUGGUGGAAGAGGAGAGCUCUCUCAGUGUGUGGUUUUGACCACAAUGAAGGUUAAUGUUAGCUGUUACCAUGCACUUUACUGUACAAAUUCCAGCACUCCGAUUUAAGGGGUGCUACUCCAGAACGUUCCUACAGAACUAAUCAGAGCUAAUCAGUUCUUUGUUUAUGCCUUCUCAUUAGCAGUCCUGCAAUGACUAUCACUGCAUUAAGUUACUGCAGCCAGAAUGGCAGUAAUGAGUAUUCCGAUGUUUAAUUUCAUCUUUAGUUGUGCUCAGUUAUUGCACGGAAAAUUGUUUUCUGGAGAAGUGAUCUCAGAACCAAGCAUUCAGAAGUCAUGAAGCCUGACCAGAAGUGAGGUUCUCCCUGUGAUAUUUUGGAUGUACUGUACAUAUAUAUCUACACAUUGUGGUCUUGUAACAUUAUCCUUAAACCAGAUAAAAUGAAGCUUAUGUUAAAACUAGGCACUAAUCUAAAGCAUCCAACUGAUAAAAUCCAGGCCUCAUUACUUAGUGAAGAUCAUCAUUCAGUUGUGCUUUUUGUGUUCUGAGUUUUAGAUCUCCAGAUGUGAAUGUGAACACUCCUGCCAGCCCAGCUGUUCAUACAGAAAUGCAGUUAGCUGCUGGGGUUACUGCAUUGCCACACAGGGCAGAAAGCAGGAGCAGGAUCUGCCCUUCAGGAUGGGCCUUCUGUUUCUCAAUCCUAAGACCAAGAUUUUGUUUUUCCUGCCACGUUCACUGUAAAACGAAUUAACAAAUUACAGCCUAUCACAUUCCCUAAAUGAGAUCUGCCAAGACCUUGGGAGAAAGUCACGCUACGGUUCUGAGAAUAACUUCAAUCAGAGAAGGAACUUGCAAUUUUUUUCUUGAAAGCAGGUCCAGCUCUUCAAAGCUGAUAAUGAACAAGAGAGGCAAUAUUUGCCUGGAAAACAGUUUGCAUUGUUCUGAGAAGUGAUUUUAAGAAGUUUAGCUAAUGAGUGUCAGGCGAUCAAACUGCCAGGAGAUACAAACUCAGCUGCCUGCUUUACCCGUGACCACAGAAGAUGCAGAUAAUGAUCUCUGCUGUUUAAAUGUAUUUGGGGGCUGAGAUUUUAUUGCCUAGGAAUGUUUAAUUUCUCCAGCCUUAAAUGCAAUUUGCAUUUUAAUUUUUUUUUUCCUUAAAAUACUUAAAACUGUAAACACCUCAUUGCGCAGUGACAUCCGGCUGUAGCAGAUUCAGUCUGAGGUAAUUACAGUUCUUCCUGUUCUUCACAUGCAUCUUCUCACCAUUGCUGAAAUGCUGUUAGUUAUGCACUGUAACUCUAAGUAUGAAACGUUAUGAGAAUACGUAUUUCAAACACACAUCCACUCCCUCCUGCCCUGACACUCUCCACGUACUGAAAUGGGACUCCAAAGCUGGCAUGUUUUUCCCCAAUAGAUGGCUGAUUCUUGUGUACUUUUCAGUCUGAGAAAUCCGAUAGGAAUUCUUGUUUCCUUUGCAAGAGCGUGUGGAGGCCGGCGUAUUAAGCUCACAUAACCACUGAGCCUUAACUGAGUGGCACAGAACAGAUCCCAGUUGUUCUUAACAUUUGCCAUUAGGGUGAUGGGGUUUUUUUAGUAGUAUCUUUAAGACUGGUAACUCAUCAUUUUCAAAGCAGCACUGGUAGCUUCAUUAUCCCCCUAACUGUUGUCAUUUAAGCAUGAGUCUUUAUCCCGUGACCAGCAGAUUACCAGUGUUAAACACAAACCUUUGAAUGCACGUGCACACAGUACCACCUAACUUAUUCUAUAUGCACUCUAAACAUUAUUUUAAAACAUCUGUUGAUGAAAUUGCAGAGGGAACUCAUAAAGGCAAGGAAGAUGAAAGGAAAAGGAAAGCAGCUGCCAAGCCUUCCCCCCUGUGAAUGCCAUGUCUCGGUUAGGUACGAAAUAAAACUUCACCUUUCUUCGCUGAUACAUCAACGAGUUCCACCUGGAGAGACAACAGGCACAAACACUGCCACAGUGUUGUCUGCUGUUUAUUCUCAGUGUGAGCAUGACUUCUCAUCUCCCUGGAACCACCACCAACUGACAAGGUUCCUAGGAGAAUUCUGGCAGAAAUGUUUUUGCAGACAUCAACUGCAGAGCCCAUAGCUGCUGCUGUGCACAAAGGCAGCUAUCAGUGUUAUCCCAGGAUGAGAGGACAGGCAGGUACAUGCACAUUUAUAGGCAUGCUAUUUGCAAUGGAGGGCUGUCCUGCUGAAGUCAUUGUCUCGAGGCUUCUAACAACUCCAGUGUAGUCUGCUGAUGAUCAAAAAAUUAAGCAGAAUAAAAAUGGAGGAAGACCUUGAUUUCCACAUUAUACUUUUACUGUAAACCAGAGAUGUCGGAAGUACAGUCCUAUUGCUAAUUAGACAAGGACCAUUUUUUGUUGCUUUCUUCUCAUAUUUCUUGAAAAUUAUUGAAAGAAGAGUUCCCCCUGCUGGUAACUGCCUGAGUCAUAAAGGGACUCAGGGCUGGGACUUCAGACCCAACGGAAAAAGGCAAGAUGGAAUGGCUGCCUCAUUUGUCUGACCUUUGUGUUUUGCACUUGCAGGUCUUUUCCUGAGGCACUUGAAUUCAAGUCCUACUUGACUGAUUUCCCUUCUCCUCAGAGAAAGGCCACUCAGCUGCUAAUGAAGGAGCAAGCCUCAAGAUUUUGCUUUAGUAACUCCUUGGCAAGUCAGCUCCAACUAAAAACAUUAUACAGUGAGUGUUCAGCACAUCUGCCAUCUUGACUGCAAAGAGUGAGUGUUUACACUUCAGGUUUCAUUUUGGAAAAUAUUCCACUGUCACAAUAAAGCUAUUGCUUGGA